AACUUUAUAUUCAAUAAUGAUUUUAAAUUGCAAAUUUAAAGGAGUAAAUUAUAAUUACUAAAGUUU
RNAcentral lists this transfer RNA (66 nucleotides) under Helina allotalla. Its description in RNAcentral is "tRNA-Cys". Lineage: Eukaryota; Metazoa; Arthropoda; Insecta; Diptera; Muscidae. The record is from RNAcentral.